This 151-nucleotide unclassified non-coding RNA is filed under the name uncultured Hypocreales. RNAcentral describes it as "sequence contains ITS1". The record is from RNAcentral. Lineage: Eukaryota; Fungi; Ascomycota; Sordariomycetes; Hypocreales.
CCGAGUUACCAAACUCCAAACCUUUGUGAACCUACCAUUGUUGCUUCGGCGGACGGCUCCGGGGGAGCCUCAGGCCCUCGCGGUGUCCGCCGAAAGCCCCAUACUCUUCUGUAUUUUUGGUAUUUUCUGAAUGCAAAAAACAAACAAGUAA